This 71-nucleotide transfer RNA is filed under the name Danio rerio (zebrafish). RNAcentral describes it as "tRNA-Gly (GCC) (tRNA-Gly-GCC-138-1)". It matches the Rfam family "tRNA". From Rfam's summary of the family: Transfer RNA (tRNA) molecules are approximately 80 nucleotides in length. Their secondary structure includes four short double-helical elements and three loops (D, anti-codon, and T loops). Lineage: Eukaryota; Metazoa; Chordata; Actinopteri; Cypriniformes; Danionidae. The record is from Rfam by way of RNAcentral.
GCAUUGGUGGUUCAGUGGUAGAAUUCUCGCCUGCCACGCGGGAGACCUGGGUCCGAUUCCCGGCCAACGCA